This is a long non-coding RNA of Ornithorhynchus anatinus (platypus), 1401 nucleotides long. RefSeq lists it as uncharacterized. The record is from RefSeq and is a predicted model, not a curated record. The transcript is spliced from 2 exons. Lineage: Eukaryota; Metazoa; Chordata; Mammalia; Monotremata; Ornithorhynchidae.
GCCUAAUGAUCCAGGCACCUGAAAUAAAUGACUUCCUAUUGCCCACAAACCUUCAGAAAAUCCAAGGCAAGGAAAGAAGCCCAGCAGUUGACAUCAACGUUCCUGGCCGGAGAAAGGAAGGUUUGCAGAAUGAAGGAUAGUCUGAUGAAGUCAAUACUUUAAAGCAUCUCUCCUCUGAUGGAUUUUUCAAGGUUGGCUCGCCUUAUCGGUACCCGCUCCUUCGAAAUGAAAGAAGAGAAUUUUGCAAAAGGGAUGGAGAGAUUUCUAGCAAAAUCAAGUGUGCUAGGAAAAGAUUCACCGUUUCCCUGAUCGGCCCUUGAUCUUAUGUUUUCCUCUGAAUCCUGAGAACUCUAGAAAUCUUCAGGACUUCAGCUUCCUCAACAUCUUCAUUAUGUAGUUCGAAACAGCUGUCCGAUUUCAAAGCUCAUUCUAGGUGGGGGAGAUCCUACCCAUGAGAAGUGUGGCUGAGAAAACCGAUGGUGAGCCUAUAUUAUUUGCAUGUAGCAGCAGAUCCUUGCCUUGUUAAUGUGUUUGUUCCAUGCCGGGCCUGUGUCUGUUUUCCAUGCUUUCUCCUGCCAAUCUCUCGUGAAGCCUUUGCUUGAAGAGGGUUUUCUGAUGGUUGCCCCCGUUACAGGCCCUCUCGGGAGUCCUUUAGCUCUGUCUGAGACUCCGCUUCCCUGGAUCUUUUAAUCACUUGUCUAUGUGGCUAUGAGGCAAAGUUAACAUGUGAGGGGGGGGGUGGUAUCAUUUCAAGUGUCAAUUAUGCAGUCAAUAUUAAUGAUUCAGGCCCAGAAAACCAUUUUUCUCCUUAAUAGAAUUUUUACCUGAGCUACCUGAUCAUUUUCAGAACUUUUCAUUUCACCUUGUUGACAUAGCAUGGAGUUUACUUUGUAGAAAUCUGGGAGGCUUUGUUCUGGGAGUCAUUAUUGUCACUCCAGUGGUGUUUUUUGCCUAUGCAAGGCCAGUGAGAUCAAAACAGCUCUGCCAUAUUGGGAAAACCCCCGUUCUUUGAGCCCCACGGAUGGUGUUUUAUCUUUUAGCAAAGCAGACUCCAUCUCUCUACCAUCCAUUCAUCAUCCACUUAUCCAUGAGAAUUUUUCAGAGGAACUGAUUGUUCUGGCCUUAUGGUGUAUUGGAAGAAUAUGUAACCAUUCUAUAUUAUUCAAAGAGCUAAGAGUGGAGGAUAUUUUCUUUGGAAAUUCUCUUGGAUUAAUCUCUUGAAAUGCAGAGUUUUUCUAAUUUACUUCUGGAUUUUUAUUAACUUGUACUUCAAACACCAUAGUUCAGGUAUGUGAAAAUUCACCUAAAACUCUGGGGUAUACCUACUAUAUCCUGCUUCUUCUGUAAUUUAUAUCCUGUUAGGCAUUGCCAGAUGAAAAUAUAUAUCCAUUUCCAAUUCUA